GCCUUCCGGCCGCCUUAUGUUAAAAUUAAGGGUGCCUGCCGGUGCCUGGCCAUAAUCGCCGGUCAGGCCCGGAUGAGAGGCCGUAUCCGAGCCGCAACUGAAUGCGGGGCCCGUGCGAUGCAGGCCUGUGAACCCCGUCAGAUCCGGAAGGAAGCAGCGGUAAGCGGACCCCUGUAUGUGCCGCGGGGAAACCUGGUUCGGUUGCGGCUCGGGUACGGCAUUUUGGAAGGC
This 231-nucleotide signal recognition particle RNA is filed under the name Bacillota bacterium. Its description in RNAcentral is "signal recognition particle sRNA large type". The stretch from base 102 to 201 matches the Rfam family "Bacterial small signal recognition particle RNA". The record is from RNAcentral. Lineage: Bacteria; Bacillati; Bacillota. RNAcentral also lists the same sequence under 2 other names.